GAUGAACGCUGGCGGCGUGCUUAACACAUGCAAGUCGAACGGAAAGGCUCCUGCUUGCAGGGGCACUCGAGUGGCGAACGGGUGAGUAACACGUGGGUGAUCUGCCCUGCACUUCGGGAUAAGCCUGGGAAACUGGGUCUAAUACCGGAUAGGACCAUCGUUUAGUGUCGGUGGUGGAAAGUUUUUUCGGUGUGGGAUGAGCUCGCGGCCUAUCAGCUUGUUGGUGGGGUAAUGGCCUACCAAGGCGUCGACGGGUAGCCGGCCUGAGAGGGUGUACGGCCACAUUGGGACUGAGAUACGGCCCAGACUCCUACGGGAGGCAGCAGUGGGGAAUAUUGCACAAUGGGCGCAAGCCUGAUGCAGCGACGCCGCGUGGGGGAUGACGGCCUUCGGGUUGUAAACUGCUUUCGCCAGGGACGAAGCGAAAGUGACGGUACCUGGUAAAGAAGCACCGGCUAACUACGUG
Molecule: ribosomal RNA, 466 nt
Filed under: uncultured bacterium
Lineage: Bacteria
Description: partial 16S ribosomal RNA
Rfam family: Bacterial small subunit ribosomal RNA
Source: RNAcentral